Molecule: small RNA, 231 nt
Filed under: Vigna angularis var. angularis
Lineage: Eukaryota; Viridiplantae; Streptophyta; Magnoliopsida; Fabales; Fabaceae
Description: Non-protein coding transcript
Source: RNAcentral
CAAAAUUAAGGAUGAAGACAGGGAGAAGAACACAAACUUUUAGAAUCAGUGGGGCUGUGCCUUUUUAUCCAAAUUUAGUGGUCAAUUCUGUAGGUGGCAGAAAUUUGGAGAAGUAUCAGCUUGGUGGGGUUAUAUUUGGUUGCAAGAACAACACAAUGAAAGAAUGCCAAUCAAAACUAAUCUUCGGUUUACCAGCAAACCACUUUUCCUAUGUGAAGAACAUUGAUCCUG